RNAcentral lists this ribosomal RNA (1016 nucleotides) under Spiromastigoides warcupii. RNAcentral describes it as "SSU rRNA". It matches the Rfam family "Bacterial small subunit ribosomal RNA", at positions 373 to 1200 of the family's 1533-position model. The record is from RNAcentral. Lineage: Eukaryota; Fungi; Ascomycota; Eurotiomycetes; Onygenales; Spiromastigoidaceae.
GGCCUAACGGCUGAACCAGCAACUUGGAAGAAUCCUGUUUAUAGUUUCCAUUUCUAUUUAUUAUGAGCAAGAUAAGUAAUAUUAGAAGGGAGUAUUACUUUAGUAAUAUUAUGUAAAUGGGUUAUUUCUGAAUAGAAAAGUGAUAAUGACAAUUAUCUAUUUAGAAGUCUUGACUAAAUUACGUGCCAGCAGUCGCGGUAAUACGUAGAAGACUAGUGUUAGUCAUCUUAAUUAGGUUUAAAGGUACCUAGACGGUGAAUUAAACCCUAAAAGGGUAUUUAUUCACUAGAGUUUUAUAGGAGAAGAGAGAAUUUUUGGAGGAGAGAUAAAAUUUUUUGAUACCAAAAGGACUGAUAACGGCGAAGGCAGUCUUCUAUUUAAAACUGACGUUGAGGGACGAAGGCUUGGGGAGCAAUAAGGAUUAGAUACCCUAGUAGUCCAAGCAGAAAAUUAUGAAUGCCAUAAGUUAGAAUUAUUAAUUAUCUAAAAAAAAAAUUAGAUAAAGUUUCAUUUAUGAGUAUUAUAAGUUAGACCUUAGAUUUAUAACAUAAAUGAAAUCCUUUCUGACAUAUAAAUGAAAGUGUAAGCAUUCCACCUUAAGAGUAUAAUGGCAACAUUGAAACUGAAAUCAUUAGACCGUUUCUGAAACCAGUAGUGAAGUAUGUUAUUUAAUUCGAUGAUCCGCGAAGAAUCUUACCACAAUUUGUAUAAUAUUUCUAUUAUAAUAGAAGAAUCUAUAAAUCAAAGUCUUAUUAAAGAUUGUAAGGUUUAAAGAUUGUAGACAAAAUGUUAUUAUAUAAAAAAUAAUUUCUUUAAUUAUGCGGUUAUUUUUAUAUAAUAACAUGGGGUAUUAUAAUAUGUAAAUAUUACAAGCGUUGCAUGGCUGUCUUCAGUUGAUGUCGUGAGAUAUUGGUUAACUCCUUUAAUUGACGAAAACCCUAACUUUAUUUAAUUUUAUAAAGUAACUAACUAAGAUAAUGGUUUAAGAAUAGGGACUAAGACAAGUCAUCAUGACC